UUUUAUCUAUAUGUAUCUACUCCUAUUUUUAUCAUCAUCAAAGUCACUCUUUGACAUUUUCUCCUCAAUAUCAUGCACAUAUCUAUUCACAUGGAUGUUGUGCCUCUCCCUCACAUUGUUCACUUGUAUUUGGCAAGAAUGGAGCCGGCCAAUUAUGUUGGCAUGGCAAUUUCGGCCAGCCACUUUCCUCCUCACUUUCUUCUCUUGCAAGACUUGCCUCUCAACUACCCCAACAAUUAAAUGGGCAGCCACCCAUCCUAGCCAAUCAAAAAGGAGGCAGCCAACCCCCUCUCCCUCUAUAAAUGGCCCUUGGCCGGCCACCUCCACUCCUCUUGCUCUCAUUUUUCUUCUCUCCACUCACUCCUCCACCUUAUCUACUCCCUCACACUCUUCUCCUACUCUCCCCCACGAAAAUUCAGCUCCACCUAGCUCCCAUGGCCGGCCAUGGCCAUGGAAAGAACUCCAAGAUGAAGCUCCCUCCUCCCUCAAGCUCCUCCUCACCAUGAGAGCCUCCCUCUCCUUCUUCUCCCCAACCCUAGAUGGUUUUCUCUCCUCUUCCCCUUCCUCCAUUGCUAAGAUUGGAUCUUGAUGCAGGUGCAUGUUGGUCCAAGCAUGGAGAAGCUUGAGCUAUCCUCAGAUCUGAAGUUCUUGAGCAAAAUCCAAAUCGAGUGAUUCAAAGUUCCACAGAUAGAUACGGAAAAGACCUACAACUUGGCGUUGGUCUCAUCCUCAAAUUCGUUACGGAUUGUCCGCGGUGAAAGCCCUCUUCAAUACCUUCAUUUUGGCGGUGGUUUCACUUCGAUUGACCUCCUGAAACUGAAAUGGUUCACAGAUCAAGAUCUGGUCAGAUAUGACUUUGUCGAAUUAAACCAGGAGCUUGGGAACGAAUUUUUGAAUGAAACAAAUUGGGGGAUGUUUGGUUUAUACCAUGGUGAUAACCGAGAGAGGCAAUUGCUAAGUUAUGAUACUCUCAUACCUUUACUAGACGCGAGCAAUUCCGGAGAAGAAGAAGAAGUGGAAUUGGACAAGGAUUUUAUUUAUAUUGUUGGGAUUCUUAUAUUGAUAGAGUUGAAGAAGUACAGGGACAAAUAAGCCAAG
Molecule: long non-coding RNA, 1098 nt
Organism: Lolium perenne
Lineage: Eukaryota; Viridiplantae; Streptophyta; Magnoliopsida; Poales; Poaceae
Source: RefSeq, a predicted model, not a curated record